CAAUAGCGUAUAUUUAAGUUGUUGCAGUUAAAAAGCUCGUAGUUGGAUUUCGGAUGGGACUUGCCGGUCCGUCGUUUCGAUGUGCACUGGCCAGUCCUAUCUUGUUGUCGGGGACUAGCUCCUGGGCUUCACUGUCCGGGACUAGGAGCUGACGAGGUUACUUUGAGUAAAUUAGAGUGUUCAAAGCAAGCCUACGCUCUGAAUACAUUAGCAUGGAAUAACACGAUAGGACUCUGGCUUAUCUUGUUGGUCUGUGAGACCAGAGUAAGGAUUAAGAGGGACAGUCGGGGGCAUUCGUAUUUCAUUGUCAGAGGUGAAAUUCUUGGAUUUAUGAAAGACGAACUUCUGCGAAAGCAUUUGUCAAGGAUGUUUUCAUUAA
Molecule: ribosomal RNA, 379 nt
Filed under: uncultured eukaryote
Lineage: Eukaryota
Description: partial 18S ribosomal RNA
Rfam family: Eukaryotic small subunit ribosomal RNA
Source: RNAcentral